RNAcentral lists this ribosomal RNA (429 nucleotides) under Verrucomicrobiota bacterium. RNAcentral describes it as "Verrucomicrobia bacterium partial 16S ribosomal RNA". It matches the Rfam family "Bacterial small subunit ribosomal RNA", at positions 355 to 776 of the family's 1533-position model. The record is from RNAcentral. Lineage: Bacteria; Pseudomonadati; Verrucomicrobiota.
UGGGGAAUCUUCCGCAAUGGGCGAAAGCCUGACGGAGCAACGCCGCGUGAGUGAAGACGGCCUUCGGGUUGUAAAACUCUGUGAUUCGGGACGAAAGAUAAGCAGACGAAUAAUCUGCAUAAGUGACGGUACCAUAAGAAAAAGCCCCGGCUAACUACGUGCCAGCAGCCGCGGUAAUACGUAGGGGGCUAGCGUUGUCCGGAAUCACUGGGCGUAAAGGGUUCGCAGGCGGAAAUGCAAGUCAGGUGUAAAAGGCAGUAGCUUAACUACUGUAAGCAUUUGAAACUGCAUAUCUUGAGAAGAGUAGAGGUAAGUGGAAUUUUUAGUGUAGCGGUGAAAUGCGUAGAUAUUAAAAAGAAUACCGGUGGCGAAGGCGACUUACUGGGCUCAUUCUGACGCUGAGGAACGAAAGCGUGGGUAGCAAACAGG